GGCACCUGGCAUAGUGGUUCCUGUAUGAAAACAGUAGCUGACUGUGCCUGGAACUACACCACCAUGUCUGCAGUCACAGUAAAGUCUGCC
Molecule: microRNA precursor, 90 nt
Filed under: Dasypus novemcinctus (nine-banded armadillo)
Lineage: Eukaryota; Metazoa; Chordata; Mammalia; Cingulata; Dasypodidae
Description: miRNA (ENSDNOG00000038386.1)
Source: RNAcentral